GCCUGCCCGGUGAUUAAUUUUUAACGGCCGCGGUAUCCUAACCGUGCAAAGGUAGCGCAAUCACUUGUUCUUUAAAUAAGGACUAGUAUGAAUGGCGACAUGAGGAUCAACUUGUCUCUCAUGAUAAGCCUAUGAAACUGAUCUUCCAGUACAAAAGCUGGAAUAAAAUCACAAGACGAGAAGACCCUGUGGAGCUUCAAACUGCAACUCAACCAGAAAUGAUACUGCAGUUUUUAGUUGGGGCGACUUUGGAGCAAAACUAAACCUCCAAAACACCUAAACCUGAGGCCGACGGGCCAAAUCACCACCCACUGACCCAAUAUAAUUGACCAAUGAACCAAGUUACCCCAGGGAUAACAGCGCAAUCUUCUUCUAGAGUCCCUAUCGACAAGAAGGUUUACGACCUCGAUGUUGGAUCAGGAUACCCAAAUAGUGCAGCCGCUAUUAAAGGUUCGUUUGUUCAACGAUUAAUAAUCCCACGUGAUCUGAGUUCAGACCGG
RNAcentral lists this ribosomal RNA (500 nucleotides) under Amphisbaena mongoyo. RNAcentral's name for it is "partial large subunit ribosomal RNA". It matches the Rfam family "Bacterial large subunit ribosomal RNA", at positions 1857 to 2619 of the family's 2925-position model. Lineage: Eukaryota; Metazoa; Chordata; Lepidosauria; Squamata; Amphisbaenidae. The record is from RNAcentral.